This 517-nucleotide non-coding RNA is filed under the name Syrrhopodon banksii. RNAcentral describes it as "partial contains tRNA-Leu, trnL-trnF intergenic spacer, and tRNA-Phe". The stretch from base 9 to 319 matches the Rfam family "Group I catalytic intron". From Rfam's summary of the family: Group I catalytic introns are large self-splicing ribozymes. They catalyse their own excision from mRNA, tRNA and rRNA precursors in a wide range of organisms. Lineage: Eukaryota; Viridiplantae; Streptophyta; Bryopsida; Dicranales; Calymperaceae. The record is from RNAcentral.
GGUAGACGCUACGGACUUAAAAAAUUUGAGCUUUAGUAAAAAAACUUAUUAAAUGUUAGUUUUCAAAUUCAGGAAAACUUAGGUUGAAAAAAAUAUAAGCAAUCCUGAGCCAAAUGUUUUAUUUUUUACAAAUAAAAAUAGUAAAAAAUAGAAAAAUAGGUGCAGAGACUCAAUGGAAACUAUCCAAAUGCAAAAAAUUUUAACAUUAUUUAAUUAAAGUUUAUAUGUUAAGAGAAAUAAAAAAAUUUAACUAAAUUAUUAUUUAGUUAAAUAAUAAGUGAGGAUAAAGAUAGAGUCCAAUUUUAUAUGUUAAUUUUUUUAGCAACAAUUUAAAUUGUAGUAAAAAGAAAAUCCGUUGGUUCUAUUAACUGUGAGGGUUCAAGUCCCUCUACCCCCAAAAUUAUGCAUUUUUUUAUUGACAUAAUUAUUUAAGUUAGUUAAGAUAGUCAAAAUAGAAAGCCAGAAAAGCCGGAAUAGCUCAGUUGGUAGAGCAGAGGACUGAAAAUCCUCGUGUCAC